Non-coding RNA from Ciona intestinalis (vase tunicate), 777 nucleotides. The record is from RefSeq and is a predicted model, not a curated record. NCBI's taxonomy places the organism in Eukaryota, Metazoa, Chordata, Ascidiacea, Phlebobranchia, Cionidae.
GGUCGAUUAUUUCAAUUUCAUUACAUUGCAUAUUAUAUUAAUAUGGAAUGCAAUAAUAAACCAAGAUAGAAUACAGCUGGCGGUUAUUGAUUUUAUUAAAGUGAAAAUAAUUCAAAAUAAUAUUACGUUCAUCUAAUCAUCUUACAGAGAAAGCUGAGCUAGUUUAUACAGCAUAUACUGAAAUGUCCCGUACCAACUUGUACUUAACCUGUCAAGGAGUUGGACUCGUUUGCGCUACGGUUAAUGCGAUUGCAACCAUACUCAACUGCUUCGACAAAGCUUCACAUUAUUUAAAUUCAACAAAAAGAGUGCCGGAGAUUGUAUUUCACAUUUUGACCAUAUGUGGUGGAGCACCCGGCAUGGCGAUGUGCAUGCAUCCACGUCUACUUGCCCACAGAACUCAACGAUUCUCGUACCAACAAUCUUAUUUGAUUAGCGCAGCUCUGUCGUGCGUGGCACUUUAUAUGGUGUCGCACCCGUUUAUUUAAUGAUUGAAGUUAUAUAGUCGUCGUGAAAUCAUUGUAUACUGAGGUUGAUAACCAGGGUAAUUUUUUUCUAACCUACAGUAAUGUGAUCUUGAAAAAAUAUUAAAUUUUGUCUUGAGGAUAUUUUUGAAAAUGUGCUAUUUUUGCUUUCAUUUCUGCAUUUUUUAUUUGGUUUUAUCAUUAGGAACACAUAUUUCCAGGACUAGCAGCUGAAACAUUUAUAUAUUUUUAAAAUCUUUUAAAAAAAUUGAAUAAACCUUGCUGUAAAUAAACAUCUUUACCAAGACCACCA